This 637-nucleotide ribosomal RNA is filed under the name Bacillus sp. (in: firmicutes). Its description in RNAcentral is "bacterial SSU rRNA". It matches the Rfam family "Bacterial small subunit ribosomal RNA", at positions 202 to 827 of the family's 1533-position model. Lineage: Bacteria; Bacillati; Bacillota; Bacilli; Caryophanales; Bacillaceae. The record is from RNAcentral.
AAAGGCGGCUUCGGCUGUCACUUAUGGAUGGACCCGCGUCGCAUUAGCUAGUUGGUGAGGUAACGGCUCACCAAGGCAACGAUGCGUAGCCGACCUGAGAGGGUGAUCGGCCACACUGGGACUGAGACACGGCCCAGACUCUACGGGAGGCAGCAGUAGGGAAUCUUCCGCAAUGGACGAAAGUCUGACGGAGCAACGCCGCGUGAGUGAUGAAGGCUUUCGGGUCGUAAAACUCUGUUGUUAGGGAAGAACAAGUGCUAGUUGAAUAAGCUGGCACCUUGACGGUACCUAACCAGAAAGCCACGGCUAACUACGUGCCAGCAGCCGCGGUAAUACGUAGGUGGCAAGCGUUAUCCGGAAUUAUUGGGCGUAAAGCGCGCGCAGGUGGUUUCUUAAGUCUGAUGUGAAAGCCCACGGCUCAACCGUGGAGGGUCAUUGGAAACUGGGAGACUUGAGUGCAGAAGAGGAAAGUGGAAUUCCAUGUGUAGCGGUGAAAUGCGUAGAGAUAUGGAGGAACACCAGUGGCGAAGGCGACUUUCUGGUCUGUAACUGACACUGAGGCGCGAAAGCGUGGGGAGCAAACAGGAUUAGAUACCCUGGUAGUCCACGCCGUAAACGAUGAGUGCUAAGUGUUAGA